This 465-nucleotide ribosomal RNA is filed under the name Vreelandella stevensii. Its description in RNAcentral is "partial 16S ribosomal RNA". It matches the Rfam family "Bacterial small subunit ribosomal RNA", at positions 338 to 795 of the family's 1533-position model. Lineage: Bacteria; Pseudomonadati; Pseudomonadota; Gammaproteobacteria; Oceanospirillales; Halomonadaceae. The record is from RNAcentral.
CCUACGGGCGGCAGCAGUGGGGAAUAUUGGACAAUGGGCGAAAGCCUGAUCCAGCCAUGCCGCGUGUGUGAAGAAGGCCUUCGGGUUGUAAAGCACUUUCAGUGGGGAAGAAAGCCUUGGGGCUAAUACCCUCGAGGAAGGACAUCACCCACAGAAGAAGCACCGGCUAACUCCGUGCCAGCAGCCGCGGUAAUACGGAGGGUGCGAGCGUUAAUCGGAAUUACUGGGCGUAAAGCGCGCGUAGGCGGUCUGAUAAGCCGGUUGUGAAAGCCCCGGGCUCAACCUGGGAACGGCAUCCGGAACUGUCAGGCUAGAGUGCAGGAGAGGAAGGUAGAAUUCCCGGUGUAGCGGUGAAAUGCGUAGAGAGCGGGAGGAAUACCAGUGGCGAAGGCGGCCUUCUGGACUGACACUGACGCUGAGGUGCGAAAGCGUGGGUAGCAAACAGGAUUAGAUACCCGGGUAGUC